RNAcentral lists this long non-coding RNA (1310 nucleotides) under Cyanistes caeruleus (blue tit). RNAcentral describes it as "lncRNA (ENSCCEG00000018401.1)". The record is from RNAcentral. Lineage: Eukaryota; Metazoa; Chordata; Aves; Passeriformes; Paridae.
GUGUAAUCUGUACUGAUAGAGGGAUCCCUGGAGAACCUGGAGCAAAAGGUCAGAUAGGCCUUCCAGGAAGAAAAGGUGCAAAAGGAGAGAAGGGUAAGUUGGUCUGGAUAAAAACAAUUUGAGUACAAAACCUUUUCCAGGAGUGUCAAAUAUAAAUAUGCAAGAAGUUCAUGGUAACGUGAAGGAUGAGGCCCGUCAAUGUACAGAGUUACACGGUCUGUUGGCGUAGGGGCAUCUGAGUCAGCAGAGUCCUAUUUUAGUGCAGAGUUACUCAGCACUGUAAAGGGAGACUGAUAAUCCUCUCCAGGUGAGAUAACAUGAGAUAAAAUGGUCUGUGCACUACUCACACAGAAAAUAAAAAGGACAACAUUAUUUUUUGUGUAUUAAUUUUGCAACUUUCAAUGUAAUUUUGACACUUGCAUGUAGGAAGUCAAGGCCUCUGCUCAUGUAGUGCUGGUCCUCCUGGUCCCCGUGGUGUGCAAGGACCUCCAGGUACUCAAGGAAGGAAAGGACAAAUGGGAUACCCUGGAAGACAUGGAGAAAAGGGUGACCCAGGCUUAUCUGGUGCAGUGGGACCACCAGGGCUCCCUGGGACUCCUGGUUCUGCUGGACAGCAUGGGGAAAAAGGAGAGAGGGGUGAUCCAGGAAGAGUUAGAAUAAAAGGUAAAUACACAUUUUACCAUUAACCUUUUUUUUUCUAUAUGAUAUCUAGGCAGUAGUGUGAGAAAAAUAUUAAUUUACUCUUUAUUAAAUCCAUUAGCUCAGUAAGUUACUGAAACCUAGAGGGCAUGUAUAUCCAAACUGCUCUCUUGGUACCAUCUCUUCUUGCUAAACACAAGAUCAACAUAGUGUUUUGUGGUUUUUUUCACUAUAGUUAAGCCAUAAAACAGUUUUAACAGCAUGUUAUUAAUGCCAACAAAUGACUUUUCAUGUCAUGCAGUUGACAAUUGGGGUCUUCCAGAGGUCUGUACAGCAAAGACUAAGCAUACUGUGAAAUACUGUGAAAGCAUAAAGAAAUGCUAUUGUACAGAAGCCACCUUCUGAAGUGUCAUAUACCAAUAACAUAGCUGCUAUCUCAAAUUAGGCCUCCAACAUCCUUCUUGGGAAAACAUCAGACUCAAUGACUAUUCGGAUUCCUCUAUUUCUAAAAAUUGCUCUUGACCAGGCAUUGAAGAGAAACAAUAGGCCACCAGUUGCACAACUGGAAUUCUUGUAAUUAAAUAGAUCAAAACCUCUCCACAGUUAUGGUUAUGAUUUGCAAAAGCAAAAGAAACAGAGAACAAUCAAUAAAUUACAGCAAUCUGAUGGCA